AAGACCUUAAGUUAAUAAAUUAAACUCGUAGCCUUCAAAGCUAUUCAUAAAGGGCCAACCUUUAGGCCUUG
This 71-nucleotide transfer RNA is filed under the name Acorhinotermes subfusciceps. RNAcentral's name for it is "tRNA-Trp". Lineage: Eukaryota; Metazoa; Arthropoda; Insecta; Blattodea; Rhinotermitidae. The record is from RNAcentral.